CGACUUUCACAUUUUUCUUUAUUAAAAACAUACAAUUUGACAUCAAAAAUGUCUAUAUCAUUUUCAUAACACAAUCUAUGUUUAUUUCCAUGUAACAUCUUAACAUGUGCCUAGCUGAAACAAUUAGCAUGGACUUAAUCAUAACUCAACUCAUGCAUUAACAGAACUGUAACAACUUAAACAGUUCAAUAACAAAAUAAUUUGUGGAUAAAC
RNAcentral lists this long non-coding RNA (213 nucleotides) under Panax ginseng (ginseng). RNAcentral describes it as "long non-coding RNA (PGIN_LNC005272)". The record is from RNAcentral. Lineage: Eukaryota; Viridiplantae; Streptophyta; Magnoliopsida; Apiales; Araliaceae.